UGGGGAAUUUUGCACAAUGGGGGAAACCCUGAUGCAGCGACGCCGCGUGAUUUAGAAGGCCUUCGGGUUGUAAAAAUCUUUUGUAUGGGAAGAAAAUGACAGUACCAUACGAAUAAGGACCGGCUAAUUACGUGCCAGCAGCCGCGGUAAUACGUAAGGUCCGAGCGUUGUCCGGAAUCAUUGGGCGUAAAGGGUACGUAGGCGGAUAAGCAAGUCAGAAGUGAAAUCCUAUAGCUCAACUAUAGUAAGCUUUUAAAACUGCUCAUCUUGAGGUAUGGAAGGGAAAGUGGAAUUCCUAGUGUAGCGGUGAAAUGCGCAGAUAUUAGGAGGAAUGCCGGUGGCGGAGGCGACUUUCUGGCCAUAUACUGACGCUGAGGUACGACAGCGUGGGUAGCAAACAGG
This 402-nucleotide ribosomal RNA is filed under the name Verrucomicrobiota bacterium. RNAcentral describes it as "Verrucomicrobia bacterium partial 16S ribosomal RNA". It matches the Rfam family "Bacterial small subunit ribosomal RNA", at positions 355 to 776 of the family's 1533-position model. The record is from RNAcentral. Lineage: Bacteria; Pseudomonadati; Verrucomicrobiota.